CGGGGUGCACCAGGCGCGAAAACUUUACAAUGCGGGAAACCGUGAUAAGGGGACACCGAGUGCCAGCAUCAUAUGCUGGCUGUCCAGAUGUGUAAAAUACAUCUGUUAGCAAGGGCCGGGCAAGACCGGUGCCAGCCGCCGCGGUAACACCGGCGGCCCGAGUGGUGAUCGUGAUUAUUGGGUCUAAAGGGUCCGUAGCCGGUUUGGUCAGUCCUCCGGGAAAUCUGAUAGCUCAACUAUUAGGCUUUCGGGGGAUACUGCCAGACUUGGAACCGGGAGAGGUAAGAGGUACUACAGGGGUAGGAGUGAAAUCUUGUAAUCCCUGUGGGACCACCUGUGGCGAAGGCGUCUUACCAGAACGGGUUCGACGGUGAGGGACGAAAGCUGGGGGCACGAACCGGAUUAGAUACCCGGGUAGUCCCAGCCGUAAACGAUGCUCGCUAGGUGUCAGACAUGGCGCGACCGUGUCUGGUGCCGCAGGGAAGCCGUGAAGCGAGCCACCUGGGAAGUACGGCCGCAAGGCUGAAACUUAAAGGAAUUGGCGGGGGAGCACAAGGGCGAAUCGCG
RNAcentral lists this ribosomal RNA (567 nucleotides) under uncultured archaeon. RNAcentral's name for it is "bacterial SSU rRNA". It matches the Rfam family "Archaeal small subunit ribosomal RNA", at positions 326 to 897 of the family's 1478-position model. The record is from RNAcentral.